GAAUCGUACAGCAGCCACCACGGGCAGGCUGCCAGUCCGUGGAGACAGGAGGCAGCGCAGAGUUGCUGGGGCCAUCCGGCUGGAUUAGCAGACGUCUUAAGAGCUAUAACAAGAAAAUUGCUAGAACGGGACAAGAAAUCAGAUCACCGGAUAAAGCUGACACUCAAAGUUCAUAUUUUCAUCGUUUCCAUAAAUGCAGUGGAUCAAUCUGCUUUGGGCCCAGCAAGAUCGGUCCCUGUGAUGCCCAGACCGUGCGGCAUCCUUGAAGGCCACGGCACGCACGUCCACCUCCACCGCGUCUAACCGGGAGUCCGUGUGCCCCGGAGGCAUGCCAUCUUCCCUCGUAUCUUGUUGGUCACCUCUCGGGUGACACACUUGAGGUACCUGGAAGUUUGCACUCAUAUCCGAAUUUCUCUUAAUCAGUCUCUGCUUCAUUUUAUCCGUUGCUGAAACACAAACGCUAAUUAUUAUCUCCCUGCUUACUAAAAGGAGCUUGUGCGUAUUCUGUCUUUACGCAGACCAUCUAGACAGAUA
Molecule: long non-coding RNA, 534 nt
Filed under: Microcebus murinus (gray mouse lemur)
Lineage: Eukaryota; Metazoa; Chordata; Mammalia; Primates; Cheirogaleidae
Description: lncRNA (ENSMICG00000048621.1)
Source: RNAcentral